Molecule: long non-coding RNA, 1563 nt
Organism: Apodemus sylvaticus (European woodmouse)
Lineage: Eukaryota; Metazoa; Chordata; Mammalia; Rodentia; Muridae
Exons: 3
Source: RefSeq, a predicted model, not a curated record
GCCCAAGGACCAGCUACAUGCUGCAGCUGUUUUCUGGGACACCCUGUUGUUUACAAAAAGAGAGGCCUGGGCUAAUAUCCACUCAUCAAGCCCUAACUUUGAAGAAGGUAAUUUCUACACUGCCAUUUUCUUCACACUGAGUGACACAGAGAGCCCCUGUGAGGAGAGACGGAGCAGAAGUCUGAGGUCAAAAGCUACAAAGAGUUUGCUGACCUCUGGGUAUAAGAUGACUCAUCCCUUGCAAGCUUAAAGCUGUACCACCCUGAUUCCCCACCGAGGUCAAGGUCAAGGGUGCAGGCAAUGUAAUGAGUUCCAUCGCUCAGGGUACAAAUACAAACUCAGAAGUCGGCUAAGGAAACACCUGCCAGCUUGGGGAAGAAAGAAAAGACCACAUUUUAAAAGGGAAGCAAAAACUAAAGCCAACAGCCCUCCCAUUCAAAGGAAACUGUCUCCUGAAAAGAAUCAGACUCUCAGGAACCUCCACAAUGCCAACUCUGAAACAGAAGAGCUGCUUUUUCUUCUGAGAAGACCUGGCUGCCUGCUAAGCAGUGGCUUGAAGAGCAUACAUGCCAAGAUUUCAGGCCCUUUUCGCUCCUUGGCUGUGUGGGUAAACAACCCACGUGAGUACAUGUAUAUAUUCUCCUUCCCGGCACCAUGCAAGAUGCCUGCUAGCUAUAGCAACUUCAUAUUAGUUAAAUGAAUACAUCAAAGUUAAGGAGGUUUCACUAGCUAUAGUACAAUGCAACAUUUUAACCCUCCUCUUCAGUGAAUUGCUACAAAUGCUUCCACCAGGUCACCACUACCUCAGGCAAGAGACAGAAAUUGUUGCCAUUCCCUAGGAACAUCCCUCUUUCUUCCCAUGAUCCCCUCUCUGACAUUAAGGAACUAUAGACCCAUUUCAUAAGACUUUCAAACUCAUCUUAAAAAUAUAUCCACAUAUCAAAAUCAAUACGAGUGGAAGGAAGAAGAGCAGGAAAGACAAACACCAAAACCAACAAGAAUUAGUAUAUGAGGAGGCAAUGUGUGGAGCAGAGUCUGAAGUAAAGGCCGCCCAGAGACUGCCCUACCUGAGGAUUCAUCCUAUAAACAGUCACCAAACCCCGACACUACGACAAGAAGCGUGUACCAAAAGGAGCAUGCCAUGGCCGCCCAGAGACUGCCCUACCUGAGAAUUCAUCCUAUAAACAGUCACCAAACCCCGACACUACGACAAGAAGCGUGUACCAAAAGGAGCAUGCCAUGGCUGUCUCCAGAGAGGCCCUGCCAGAGCCUUACAAAUACAGAAGCAGAAACUAGCAACCAACUAUUGGACAGGGCUUGGGGUCCCCAACGGAGGAUCUGGAGGUGGUCCAGCGGAGCUGAAGGUGUUUACAGCCCCAUGGGAAGAACAAAGACCUUGGACACCCAGACACCCUAAGACUCCCAGAGACUGAACCAUCAACCACGGGGUACACAUGGUUCCAGCCAAAAAUGUGGCAGAGGAAGGCCUUGUUGGGCAUCAGUGGGAGGAGUAGUCUUUGGUCAGAUAAAGGCUCAACAGAGGUCCCAACAAAGGGAAACGGA